Cygnus atratus (black swan) is the source of this 299-nucleotide long non-coding RNA. RefSeq lists it as uncharacterized. The record is from RefSeq and is a predicted model, not a curated record. Lineage: Eukaryota; Metazoa; Chordata; Aves; Anseriformes; Anatidae. The transcript has 2 exons.
UGUCUCUGACUGCUCUGGUCUGGCCUGACUGCCAUCAGCUCUUCUCUUCUUGGAGGAGACUUCUUGAGAGUUUGGGAUCAUUGUGGUACAUGAGGAGAGGAAGAGCAAGGAGGCCCGAGACGACGUGGUGAUGAGCGCUGGCUGGAGCCAUCAGGCUGGGAUGCUCCCACGCGUGGGCGUCCGCUCAGCCCGACAGCCUGAGGCUGGCACAGUGCAGCCUGUGACUGCACCUUCUGGCCUUCUGCUGAUAAAUAAGCAAGCUAAUUGAAUUAAUAAACAGAUAGCUCUUUUUCCUGCCA